Long non-coding RNA from Fundulus heteroclitus (mummichog), 527 nucleotides. RefSeq lists it as uncharacterized. Lineage: Eukaryota; Metazoa; Chordata; Actinopteri; Cyprinodontiformes; Fundulidae. The record is from RefSeq and is a predicted model, not a curated record. The transcript is spliced from 3 exons.
CAGCGGCCAGCGUAAAACCAAGCGCCAGCUCGGAAAUGAGCGACAAACCCGAGAGCCAAGGAACAUGCACGGGAUUCGGAGAAAAUGAUAACUGGAGCCUGUGACUGAUUCAGUUUUGUCCUCUUUCUUUGUCUUAGAUGACAGGUUUCAAAUGUCCAUGGUGCGGGAGAGGGAAUUAUUUUUUGGGCAGAGCGCAUCCAGAGCCAAAGAGAGGCUCCCAUUAAAUCAGUGGCUGCACCAAACCGUUUCAAGUUUUAUCUGCGCGGAGUAAAAAAUUUACUCCCUCCCGGCCAAAGCGCCCAGAUGAUGUCUCUAGAGGUUCACCUGAAGACGGUGGCUCACCUUCGGGGAAAAGGUGACAGGAUCGCGAAAGUUACAUUCAGAGGUCUGCCACUCUACAGCCGUGUAGCAGAGAACUGUGAGGAGGUGGCUCACUUUAAUGAGACUUUUCGAUGGCCCAUUGGGAGCAGACUUGACGAAAAUGAGAUGUUGGAGAUCCAAGUGUACAAUUACAGCAAAGUCUUUUC